RNAcentral lists this ribosomal RNA (433 nucleotides) under uncultured bacterium. RNAcentral describes it as "partial 16S ribosomal RNA". It matches the Rfam family "Bacterial small subunit ribosomal RNA", at positions 29 to 507 of the family's 1533-position model. The record is from RNAcentral.
AACGAACGCUGGCGGCAUGCCUGACACAUGCAAGUCGAACGAGACCUUCGGGUCUAGUGGCGCACGGGUGCGUAACGCGUGGGAACCUGCCCUUAGGUUCGGAAUAACUCCCCGAAAGGGGUGCUAAUACCGGAUAAUGUCUUCGGACCAAAGAUUUAUCGCCUUUGGAUGGGCCCGCGUUGGAUUAGCUAGUUGGUAGGGUAAAAGCCUACCAAGGCGACGAUCCAUAGCUGGUCUGAGAGGAUGAUCAGCCACACUGGGACUGAGACACGGCCCAGACUCCUACGGGAGGCAGCAGUGGGGAAUAUUGGACUAUGGGCGAAAGCCUGAUCCAGCAAUGCCGCGUGAGUGAUGAAGGCCUUAGGGUUGUAAAGCUCUUUUACCCGGGAUGAUAAUGACAGUACCGGGAGAAUAAGCUCCGGCUAACUCCGUG